GAUGAACGCUGGCUACAGGCUUAACACAUGCAAGUCGUGGGGAAACGGCAUUAUGUGCUUGCACAUUCUGGACGUCGACCGGCGCACGGGUGAGUAUCGCGUAUCCAACCUGCCCCUUACUUGGGGAUACCCCGUUGAAAGACGGCCUAAUACCCGAUGUGUUUCAUUGACGGCAUCCGAUAUGAAACAAAGGUUUUCCGGUAAGGGAUGGGGAUGCGUCUGAUUAGCUUGUUGGCGGGGCAACGGCCCACCAAGGCGACGAUCAGUAGGGGUUCUGAGAGGAAGGUCCCCCACAUUGGAACUGAGACACGGUCCAAACUCCUACGGGAGGCAGCAGUGAGGAAUAUUGGUCAAUGGACGCAAGUCUGAACCAGCCAAGUAGCGUGCAGGAUGACGGCCCUAUGGGUUGUAAACUGCUUUUAUGUGGGAAUAAAGUGGCGCACGUGUGCGCCAUUGCAUGUACCUCAUGAAUAAGGACGG
RNAcentral lists this ribosomal RNA (480 nucleotides) under Prevotella nigrescens. RNAcentral describes it as "bacterial SSU rRNA". It matches the Rfam family "Bacterial small subunit ribosomal RNA", at positions 28 to 495 of the family's 1533-position model. Lineage: Bacteria; Pseudomonadati; Bacteroidota; Bacteroidia; Bacteroidales; Prevotellaceae. The record is from RNAcentral.